Molecule: ribosomal RNA, 492 nt
Filed under: uncultured bacterium
Lineage: Bacteria
Description: partial 16S ribosomal RNA
Rfam family: Bacterial small subunit ribosomal RNA
Source: RNAcentral
AGUGAACGCUGGCGGUAGGCCUAACACAUGCGAGUCGAACGGCAGCACAGUAAGAGCUUGCUCUUACGGGUGGCGAGUGGCGGACGGGUGAGGAAUACAUCGGAAUCUACUUUUUCGUGGGGGAUAACGUAGGGAAACUUACGCUAAUACCGCAUACGACCUACGGGUGAAAGCAGGGGAUCUUCGGACCUUGCGCGAUUGAAUGAGCCGAUGUCGGAUUAGCUAGUUGGCGGGGUAAAGGCCCACCAAGGCGACGAUCCGUAGCUGGUCUGAGAGGAUGAUCAGCCACACUGGAACUGAGACACGGUCCAGACUCCUACGGGAGGCAGCAGUGGGGAAUAUUGGACAAUGGGCGCAAGCCUGAUCCAGCCAUACCGCGUGGGUGAAGAAGGCCUUCGGGUUGUAAAGCCCUUUUGUUGGGAAAGAAAAGCAGCAGGUUAAUACCCCGCUGUUAUGACGGUACCCAAAGAAUAAGCACCGGCUAACUUCGUG